GACCAGACUCCUACGGGAGGCAGCAGUGGGGAAUAUUGGGCAAUGGGCGCAAGCCUGACCCAGCAACGCCGCGUGAAGGAAGAAGGCUUUCGGGUUGUAAACUUCUUUUAAGAGGGACGAAACAAAUGACGGUACCUCUUGAAUAAGCCACGGCUAACUACGCGCCAGCAGCCGCGGUAAUACGUAGGUGGCAAGCGUUAUCCGGAUUUAUUGGGUGUAAAGGGCGUGUAGGCGGGAAAGCAAGUCAGAUGUUAAAACUAUGGGCUCAACCCAUAGCCUGCAUUUGAAACUGUUUUUCUUGAGUGCUGGAGAGGCAAUCGGAAUUCCGUGUGUAGCGGUGAAAUGCGUAGAUAUACGGAGGAACACCAGUGGCGAAGGCGGAUUGCUGGACAGUAACUGACGCUGAGGCGCGAAAGCGUGGGGAGCACACAGGAUUAGAUACCCCGGUAU
Molecule: ribosomal RNA, 450 nt
Filed under: uncultured bacterium
Lineage: Bacteria
Description: bacterial SSU rRNA
Rfam family: Bacterial small subunit ribosomal RNA
Source: RNAcentral